Corapipo altera (White-ruffed manakin) is the source of this 534-nucleotide long non-coding RNA. RefSeq lists it as uncharacterized. NCBI's taxonomy places the organism in Eukaryota, Metazoa, Chordata, Aves, Passeriformes, Pipridae. The record is from RefSeq and is a predicted model, not a curated record. The transcript has 3 exons.
GGUCAUAAUAUUGCAUCACAGUUACAUAAUUACGAUCACAGCAAUGUUUUUUUGUCAUUAAGGUUUAUGACAUUCCCUAAUUAACGAGACAAUGACAUUUCACUGACAUAAUACAUUGAGCUUGUCUUGCAGAAUAAAGGGACGUAGACCUCCUCUUCACCAUUUAUCCUUAUCUAGGGCUCAGAAAUAGCUUUUUAAAGGGUCACCACCAGCCAGGCAGGCACCUUCCUGGGGCAGAACCACCUGGAAAUCCAAUGCUUACAGACAAACUUGGAAAUGGCACUUUUCCACCAAGACCGUACCAUCUUCAUGGACAAAAGAGACAACAGGGCCCCAGACAGAGAUGAAGGUUGAAAGGGUCCCAAGACUGAAGAGGCUAUGGACAGGGUGAGAGGAAAACAACAAGCAGCAGCAGGGAAGCAGUGCUGGAAACCCCUUGAAAUGGCGAGGGAAGAAAACCCACUGACACCACUGUGGGAAGGCUGGUUGUGUAAAGAAGCGGUGCUGGGGUAGGGAGGAGCUGCCCUGCUUAGG